Molecule: non-coding RNA, 3698 nt
Organism: Amborella trichopoda
Lineage: Eukaryota; Viridiplantae; Streptophyta; Magnoliopsida; Amborellales; Amborellaceae
Source: RefSeq, a predicted model, not a curated record
GUCGUCCGUUCAAACAAAAAGAAACGAAGGGCUUGGAUUGGAUGGAAACCCUGCGUGCGAAAGGGUGUGAUUUGCUCAAAUCCUUCAAACCCAGAAUAAUCUCCUUUUAACCCUCCUCCCGCUUCCUCUCCUCUGCUCUGCGAGCCUCUCCUCUCUCUCAUUCGCCCUCUUCUCUCCUCUGCUAUGCCAAGCUCCCCUCACUCUCAUUCACCCUCUCUCUUUGAUGCAAAGCCCACACACAUCAACAGAUAACCUCUCCUUGUUUUGUAAAGCUCGCAAUAGACGCCACCCUCUGCGACUGUUGCUGCAAUAGACGCCACCCUCUGCGAAUCUUGCUGCAAUAGAUGCCAUCCCCUCCUCUUGCAACAGACGACACCCCUCCUCUGUUUAGGACCCCAAUCCAGGUGAGUGAUAUCAGAUCAUCUCGAAUUUUGUGCUCGAACCCAACCCACAAUCUGUGAAUAUACUCUAACCAUGGGUUUUCCCAAAACGAGAUUUAUAAAUAAAACCUUAUGGUUUACAAUGCUAUGCAUCAAAUUUGUGAAUUUUUUUACGGUGGGUAUUUUUCAAUGGAAAAUUAUCUAUUGUGGAAAACCUAAUGUUUUUUCCAAAAUCCAACGCAAAAACCUACGUUUUUUUUCCCAAUAAAUCACCGAAUUAUUACUUCAAAAAUCGAAUUUCCUAAUAAAUCACAGAAUCAAUCACCAAAUUAUUACUCAAAAACCACAAGUCUAGCCAAUCAUAUGAGAGCACAGUUCUGAUCUUUGUAAAAAUGUAAGGUUUUAUUUACAGUGAGCCACCCACUGUGAAUCACUAUAAAUAAAAAAAAUUUCUUCCUUUAUCUUCUUUUAUUGCUCCUUUUUCUUCUUUUUUUUGAUGUAGUUCUAAAGUGAUUGUAGGAUUGGCUUUUUGUUUUCUUUUUUAGAUUGAUUGCACUUAUUUUUUUCCGGUAGCUUUUGCUAAUACUAGGAAUUAAUGUGCAAAAGUUAUUUAUAGAAAAAUAAAUAUUCAAAGAAAUCAUGUUUUUGUAAUUUGAUGUGGGGCAUCGAUGUGUAAUGUUCGUGAUUUUGAGAUUUACCCAAGACAUUGAGUUGUUUAUGUUAAAGGCUUUUGAAUUUGUAGUAGGUGAAAAUAUGGGCAAAUGGCAUGGAGAUGUAUUGAGAAAGAAAGGGCUUUUGGGUUGUUGUUAUUACCCUUUCUCAAAGUGGGAUGUAUUGUUAAUCAUGCUUGAUAAAGAGCAGUGCGUCUUUUUCUUUAUUUAACUGAUAAAAGCAGGAUGUUCAUUCCUUUAGCUGUUGCUGAGGUCUGAAAAUUUCAGACUUCACACCAGAAUUUUGCCUUAAACUUGUUCCUUGUAAUUUUUUUCUUUUCCUCAAGUAGAUGUUUUCAUUCAGUAAAUGGGUACCAAUCAGAUUCUUGGUUGAAUUUCAGGCCUGACUUUUAAAUUAAAGUCACAUAUUAAAAAUCAUUUGUUUUAAGUUCUACUUGGUUAUAAUUAUCCACUGGCAAAAGUAUGGCAAUGCAAUGCAAUUAGACAUUGUCUCUGAAUCUUGGUCUCUAUGUUUUAUGUUCUCCUUCUGAAUCUAACAAGGGUAAUGUCUUGUGUUUUUCAUUUAAACAUGAAUUUUGUAGGGGUAUUGAACUUCCUUAAUGGCAUCAGAUAUGUUCUGCAUUUCUCUCUCAUUCUUUAUGUAGAAUUGAUCUACUUAACGUUGUAGGUAUUUGUGUACUGAAUAAUUAUUAAGCGGACUCAUAUAUACGGGAAACAAGUAAGAUUUACAUAGGUUUUACAUGGCUAAAUUACAGUUAUUAUUCUGAAUAAUGGGAGUGGAUGAAGAUACUAAAUGCUAAAGUGGGUUGCAUUUUUUUCCCAUUCUCUGGUUGAGAGAGAGGAGGAGGGAUAUUGUCUCAGUGCAAGGCCUUUAUUUUCUAGGCACUAUACAAGGAAUAGAAGCUGACAUUUCUUUUUUUAUUUAAAGGAAAAUUUUCUCUUCAUGGAUGUCCCAUUCAUGAAAAAGGGUAAUGAGAAAGAAAGGGCUUUCUGGCUCGUUUCUUUAUUAUGAAGCCCAUAUGUAUAUUCUGCAGUUGUGUGGCUUGGAAUCAUGACAAAACUUUUCAUCAUCAAUCAAACAAAUGUAGCUUGACUUUAAAAUUUUGAAAAGUUAUUGUGCUGGACAUUUGUGUGUCUCAUGUGCUAAGAUUUGAAGUUGUUAGUGGAUCCAGUUCUACUAAUCCAAAAUUGUUUAUAAUUCUAUUUCAUUGCUGAUAACUAGUAACUAGGAUCCAGUUUUUUUUCAUCACAAUUGUUCAAUUACAUUUCCGUACAAUUGAAAUCCCUUUCAUUUAAUCUAAAUGUUUUAUAUAUUUGUGUGUCUAAUACAUACGAGGUUUCCUUUAUCCUUGGAAUUAUAAGACUUGUGUUGUGCAAACUUUUAAUGACCUGGUUUUAUUUAUUUUUUUGUUUCUAUUAGGUUUAAUAUCUAUUUUGUGCUUGAGGUUUCAUGAUUUUGAAGCCAUGCCUUGUUAAUUGAGUGGUUUAGAGCUUGUUUGGAUUUAUUCUUGCAAUAUAUACUAUGUAGAGCGUACUAUUUUGUUGCAGAUGUAUCGCCACUUAUUGGACUCAAUAUAAAGACCAAACUACGAGUGGACAUUUAAAAAUAGCAAUUGAGAGCCUCUAUUUUAGUUUUACAAUGGUCCAAACUCUAAUUUCAGUCAAUACAAGGCAUGCCUUUCUGAUUAGCUGCAUGUUUUCUGUUUUGCAAGAGACUAACUAACUCUGUCAGGGACAUGACUAUAAACCACCUAGAUUAUAUUCUAGGUUAUAUACACUAUGAUUAAAUGUUUGAUUGGGAUAUUGCUCAUUGAAGUUUAAUUUAUCUUUUAGAGUUCCCAUGGGAGUUUGGAAUGUUGAUACUCCCUAUUUAUAUUGCUAUCUCACCUGGAAUUUUGUUCUUAUAGUCCUUUUGUUAUUUAUAAUUUUUUGAUAUAAGUUUUCUUUUACCUUUUGUGCAUUGUUGUAACUUGGCAAUUGUGGUAUGUGGACUUUAUCAGAUAUGCAUUCAAGUUAAUAUAUUACAGUUAGAAGGAUAGGGGUGGGAUUUGAAGGAUAAAAGACACUGCAUGAUCCAUAUUGUGCAUGUUUGCUUUUAUUAUUUAGUUCAUUAUCUAUAUAGUUUACCUAGUGUAUGGUUUGAAUGUCAGGCAUGAUCAUUAUUUGAAUUGUUGUAUGGAAGCUUUGGAUCUCAUAUGAUGAGUUUAGAAACAAUACAUUUAGUGUGGAUCAGUUUUUUUUAAAAACGGAUCAUGGGGGUAGAUUGUCCAACCCACCACUGUGAUAUUUUAUGCCUUGUACUGCUAAGUAUACUGCGCUAUUUUUUCUUCUUCUCUGUGUUUGAAGUGCUCUUUUGAAGAGAUUGCACCUUUGGAUGGACAAUGCUUCAUUCUGUGCGGCAUUAUCUGUUUGUCCAUCGCUCAUCGAUCUUGAAGUCAUGGGCCUGUAUAUUGAGCUCUGACAAGCUCUGAAGACUCUCAGUACAUGAAGGUAGAAGUACAUGUCACAUGGAGAAGUUCACAUAUUCAGUCUCAUUCUCAGAGAUCAAUAAAACUUUUGAAUACAUGCUCAAAGGUGAUAGCUUUGACUGGAGAGUAAAACUUGAAAAAGCAAAAAAAAAUAAAUUACUUGUUGAUGGUUGAAUCAA